Molecule: ribosomal RNA, 386 nt
Filed under: uncultured Sphingobacteriales bacterium
Lineage: Bacteria; Pseudomonadati; Bacteroidota; Sphingobacteriia; Sphingobacteriales
Description: bacterial SSU rRNA
Rfam family: Bacterial small subunit ribosomal RNA
Source: RNAcentral
GACUGUAGGUGAAAGCUUACAUCUCUUCGGAGCAUUUUACGAGGUGCUGCAUGGUUGUCGUCAGCUCGUGCCGUGAGGUGUCGGGUUAAGUCCCAUAACGAGCGCAACCCUACCUUUAGUUGCCAUCAGGUAAUGCUGGGGACUCUAAAGGAACUGCCUACGCAAGUAGUGAGGAAGCGGGGAUGACGUCAAAUCAGCACGGCCCUUACGUCCAGGGCUACACACGUGCUACAAUGGCCGAUACAGAGGGCAGCUACCUGGUGACAGGAUGCAAAUCUCCAAAGUCGGUCUCAGUUCGGAUCGGAGUCUGCAACCCGACUCCGUGAAGUUGGAUUCGCUAGUAAUCGCGCAUCAGCCAUGGCGCGGUGAAUACGUUCCCGGGCCUU